CCUACGGGGGGCAGCAGUGGGGAAUAUUGGACAAUGGGGGCAACCCUGAUCCAGCCAUGCCGCGUGUGUGAAGAAGGCCCUCGGGUUGUAAAGCACUUUCAGUGAGGAAGAACGCCUGGUGGUUAAUACCCAUCAGGAAAGACAUCACUCACAGAAGAAGCACCGGCUAACUCCGUGCCAGCAGCCGCGGUAAUACGGAGGGUGCGAGCGUUAAUCGGAAUUACUGGGCGUAAAGCGCGCGUAGGUGGCUUGAUAAGCCGGUUGUGAAAGCCCCGGGCUCAACCUGGGAACGGCAUCCGGAACUGUCAAGCUAGAGUGCAGGAGAGGAAGGUAGAAUUCCCGGUGUAGCGGUGAAAUGCGUAGAGAUCGGGAGGAAUACCAGUGGCGAAGGCGGCCUUCUGGACUGACACUGACACUGAGGUGCGAAAGCGUGGGUAGCUAUCAGGAUUAGAUACCCGAGUAGUC
Molecule: ribosomal RNA, 465 nt
Filed under: Vreelandella stevensii
Lineage: Bacteria; Pseudomonadati; Pseudomonadota; Gammaproteobacteria; Oceanospirillales; Halomonadaceae
Description: partial 16S ribosomal RNA
Rfam family: Bacterial small subunit ribosomal RNA
Source: RNAcentral